This 220-nucleotide ribosomal RNA is filed under the name uncultured Diversispora. Its description in RNAcentral is "partial small subunit ribosomal RNA". The stretch from base 47 to 220 matches the Rfam family "Eukaryotic small subunit ribosomal RNA", at positions 692 to 864 of the family's 1831-position model. Lineage: Eukaryota; Fungi; Glomeromycota; Glomeromycetes; Diversisporales; Diversisporaceae. The record is from RNAcentral.
GGGUCUACCCAUUGGUCAGGCUUAAUUGUCUGCACUGGUGAGAUGGAUCUCUACCUUCUGAGGAACUUUCAUGCCAUUCAUUUGGUGUGAUGGGAAAUCAGGACUGUUACUUUGAAAAAAUUAGAGUGUUUAAAGCAGGCAUUUUUGCUCGAAUACAUUAGCAUGGAAUAAUAGAAUAGGACGGCAUGGUUCUAUUUUGUUGGUUUCUAGGAUCACCGUA